This 87-nucleotide non-coding RNA is filed under the name Pseudomonas koreensis. The record is from RNAcentral. Lineage: Bacteria; Pseudomonadati; Pseudomonadota; Gammaproteobacteria; Pseudomonadales; Pseudomonadaceae.
CGUUAUGGCGGCUCUGUGCGGGCAGACUUUAUGUCUGGCCGGGUGCCUAUGACCGGUUUUCUCACCCCGCACACAGCUGCCACCUCU